UACGGAGGAGGCAAGCGUUAUCCGGAAUUAUUGGGCGUAAAGAGUCCGUAGGUGGCGAUUCAAGUCUGCUGUCAAAGCGUGGAGCUCAACUCCAUCACGGCAGUGGAAACUGAAUGGCUAGAGUCUGGUAGGGGUAGCGGGAAUUCCCAGUGUAGAGGUGAAAUGCGUAGAGAUUGGGAAGAACAUCGGUGGCGAAAGCGCGCAACUGGGCAGGAACUGACACUGAGGGAAGAAAGCUAGGGGAGCGAAAGGG
This 253-nucleotide ribosomal RNA is filed under the name uncultured bacterium. Its description in RNAcentral is "partial 16S ribosomal RNA". It matches the Rfam family "Bacterial small subunit ribosomal RNA", at positions 524 to 776 of the family's 1533-position model. The record is from RNAcentral.